RNAcentral lists this ribosomal RNA (503 nucleotides) under uncultured bacterium. RNAcentral's name for it is "partial 16S ribosomal RNA". It matches the Rfam family "Bacterial small subunit ribosomal RNA", at positions 30 to 523 of the family's 1533-position model. The record is from RNAcentral.
AUUGAACGCUGGCGGCAGGCCUAACACAUGCAAGUCGAGGGGUAGCAGGAUUAAGCUUGCUUAAUUGCUGACGACCGGCGCACGGGUGCGUAACGCGUAUGCAACCUACCUUAUACUGGGGUAUAGCCCGGAGAAAUUCGGAUUAAUCCCCCAUAGUACUAAUGAAUCGCAUGGUUUAUUAGUUAAAGCAUUGCGGUAUAAGAUGGGCAUGCGUCCUAUUAGCUAGAUGGUGAGGUAACGGCUGGCCAUGGCUACGAUAGGUAGGGGGCCUGAGAGGGUGGUCCCCCACACUGGUACUGAGACACGGACCAGACUCCUACGGGAGGCAGCAGUGAGGAGUAUUGGUCAAUGGGCGCAAGCCUGAACCAGCCAUGCCGCGUGCAGGAAGAAUGCCCUAUGGGUUGUAAACUGCUUUUAUUUGGGAAUAAACCUCUUUACGUGUAGAGAGCUGAAGGUACCAAAUGAAUAAGCACCGGCUAACUCCGUGCCAGCCGCCGCAGUAA